CCUCGGAGAGUUUGAUCCUGGCUCAGGACGAACGCUGGCGGCGUGCCUAAUACAUGCAAGUCGAGCGAACAGAAGGGAGCUUGCUCCCGGAUGUUAGCGGCGGACGGGUGAGUAACACGUGGGUAACCUGCCUGUAAGACUGGGAUAACUCCGGGAAACCGGAGCUAAUACCGGAUAGUUCCUUGAACCGCAUGGUUCAAGGAUGAAAGACGGUUUCGGCUGUCACUUACAGAUGGACCCGCGGCGCAUUAGCUAGUUGGUGGGGUAAUGGCUCACCAAGGCGACGAUGCGUAGCCGACCUGAGAGGGUGAUCGGCCACACUGGGACUGAGACACGGCCCAGACUCCUACGGGAGGCAGCAGUAGGGAAUCUUCCGCAAUGGACGAAAGUCUGACGGAGCAACGCCGCGUGAGUGAUGAAGGUUUUCGGAUCGUAAAGCUCUGUUGUUAGGGAAGAACAAGUGCGAGAGUAACUGCUCGCACCUUGACGGUACCUAACCAGAAAGCCACGGCUAACUACGUGCCAGCAGCCGCGGUAAUACGUAGGUGGCAAGCGUUGUCCGGAAUUAUUGGGCGUAAAGGGCUCGCAGGCGGUUUCUUAAGUCUGAUGUGAAAGCCCCCGGCUCAACCGGGGAGGGUCAUUGGAAACUGGGAAACUUGAGUGCAGAAGAGGAGAGUGGAAUUCCACGUGUAGCGGUGAAAUGCGUAGAGAUGUGGAGGAACACCAGUGGCGAAGGCGACUCUCUGGUCUGUAACUGACGCUGAGGAGCGAAAGCGUGGGGAGCGAACAGGAUUAGAUACCCUGGUAGUCCACGCCGUAAACGAUGAGUGCUAAGUGUUAGGGGGUUUCCGCCCCUUAGUGCUGCAGCUAACGCAUUAAGCACUCCGCCUGGGGAGUACGGUCGCAAGACUGAAACUCAAAGGAAUUGACGGGGGCCCGCACAAGCGGUGGAGCAUGUGGUUUAAUUCGAAGCAACGCGAAGAACCUUACCAGGUCUUGACAUCCUCUGACAACCCUAGAGAUAGGGCUUUCCCUUCGGGGACAGAGUGACAGGUGGUGCAUGGUUGUCGUCAGCUCGUGUCGUGAGAUGUUGGGUUAAGUCCCGCAACGAGCGCAACCCUUGAUCUUAGUUGCCAGCAUUUAGUUGGGCACUCUAAGGUGACUGCCGGUGACAAACCGGAGGAAGGUGGGGAUGACGUCAAAUCAUCAUGCCCCUUAUGACCUGGGC
Molecule: ribosomal RNA, 1228 nt
Filed under: Bacillus pumilus
Lineage: Bacteria; Bacillati; Bacillota; Bacilli; Caryophanales; Bacillaceae
Description: bacterial SSU rRNA
Rfam family: Bacterial small subunit ribosomal RNA
Source: RNAcentral